AUUGAACGCUGGCGGCAUGCUUUACACAUGCAAGUCGAACGGUAACAGGUUAAGCUGACGAGUGGCGAACGGGUGAGUAAUGCAUCGGAACGUGCCCGAUCGUGGGGGAUAACGCAGCGAAAGCUGCGCUAAUACCGCAUACGAUCUGAGGAUGAAAGCGGGGGACCGUAAGGCCUCGCGCGAUCGGAGCGGCCGAUGUCAGAUUAGGUAGUUGGUGGGGUAAAGGCUCACCAAGCCAACGAUCUGUAGCUGGUCUGAGAGGACGACCAGCCACACUGGGACUGAGACACGGCCCAGACUCCUACGGGAGGCAGCAGUGGGGAAUUUUGGACAAUGGGCGAAAGCCUGAUCCAGCAAUGCCGCGUGCAGGAAGAAGGCCUUCGGGCUGUAAACUGCUUUUGUACGGAGCGAAAAGGCCCUCUCUACUACAGGGGGUUUAUGACGGUACCGUAAGAAUAAGCACCGGCUAACUACGUGCCAGCAGCCGCGGUAA
Molecule: ribosomal RNA, 493 nt
Filed under: uncultured bacterium
Lineage: Bacteria
Description: partial 16S ribosomal RNA
Rfam family: Bacterial small subunit ribosomal RNA
Source: RNAcentral